GGACCAAGGAGUCUAGCAUGUGCGCAAGUCAUUGGGAUUUGAAAACCUAAAGGCGUAAUGAAAGUAAAUAUUUACCUUGUGUAAAUUAAGGGAGGAUAAGAUACAUUCCAUAUUAUUUUUAAAUGAUUUUUAAUUAUUUAAUAUAGUAUGUUUGUUUGUAUACUUCGCACUCCCGGGGCGUCCCACACUUAUUGCAAGGUGAGGCGCACCAAGAGCGUACACGCUGGGACCC
This 232-nucleotide ribosomal RNA is filed under the name Omophron limbatum. Its description in RNAcentral is "partial 28S ribosomal RNA". It matches the Rfam family "Eukaryotic large subunit ribosomal RNA", at positions 663 to 817 of the family's 3401-position model. The record is from RNAcentral. Lineage: Eukaryota; Metazoa; Arthropoda; Insecta; Coleoptera; Carabidae.